Molecule: ribosomal RNA, 253 nt
Filed under: uncultured bacterium
Lineage: Bacteria
Description: partial 16S ribosomal RNA
Rfam family: Bacterial small subunit ribosomal RNA
Source: RNAcentral
UACGAAGGGUGCAAACGUUGCUCGGAAUUAUUGGGCGUAAAGCGCACGUAGGCGGCUUGGCAAGUCGGAUGUGAAAUCCCUCGGCUCAACCAAGGAAGUGCAUCCGAAACUGCCGAGCUUGAGUACUUAAGAGGAUCGCGGAAUUCCCGGUGUAGAGGUGAAAUUCGUAGAUAUCGGGAGGAACACCGGUGGCGAAGGCGGCGACCUGGGUAGAUACUGACGCUGAGGCGCGAAAGCGUGGGGAGCAAACAGG